ACUGGUAUGUGUGGGGCUCCAGCCACCUUAGUUGGAAUUCACCAUGAACUGCAUCUCGAGGAUCAAGUUUAGGCUCCCCAGUCCAUUGUGACAUCCAGCAAAGUGGAGCCGGGCGCCCCCAGCAUCCCGUCUGUCUGACGCUAAAUGACGAGGCUCUCCAACCCACUUAGCUCCAAGCUCAACCUUCUGCAAAAGUUCAACCUUCUGCACCACUGGGGAUAUCGUGCAGCUCAGAGACGGGGUUUCGUCUUGUUGCCCAGGAUGAUGUAGAACUCCUGGGCUCAAGCAAUCCACUUGCUUUGGCCUCCCAAAGUGCUGGGAUUACAGACGUGAGCCACCAUGCCCUGCUGGUUUAAUGUUAUAUUCAAGUUUCUCUAACUGAAGGGCAUGUACUGUUGAGCAUGCUCAGAAGCCAAGGUUCAAGCCAUUCUUCAACUAUAGAUGCUUCAACUCAUCUCUCUUUCUUCCAAAUAUUCUCUCCCUUAUCAAUUUCACCAAUUAUACCAAGUAACCCCCUGCUUAUUCCCCUAGAACAGACAGAGCUGCUACUAGUCUGUGCCUUAUGUAAUUUAGAAAAAGACUCUUGGAAUGUAGCCCCAGACCAUGAUGUACGAGCAUGAGUUGGGUAUCGCCCCAUUUUAUUCUGUAAUUCAGGUGCCCUUGUGCAGUGAAUAAUGUGGCAGCUGUGAGACUAGUGAUGCUAAACAGGUUUAAUUUUUGGUGCAAAUUCUAAUGAAUUAAUAAUAGCUGUUUUAAAAAAACACACAGUGCUAAGAAAGACUCUGAGGCUGUUUUCAGGCUCAGUAGAUAAAGUGUACUGUAAGCUGUGAUGAUUUGCCUUGGUUGGGAGACAAGUUUUAUAAUUUAUAGAACACAACUUUCAAAUGACCUUGUAAUACAAGGCAACAACCCUACUUUUCCAGGUCUCUAACAAAAAGCAUCUAGCUGAGCUAGAGUGUUUUCAUGAGAUGUCUGCUACACAAAACGAUAUCUUGCUUAAUAAAUAACACCUGUUUCUACUUGGUGUCAUUUCACUGUUUAAUCAAAACUUAUUUUCACCACUCUUAACCACAAUCUAAAGAAGGAUGCUUCAAUCUCUUCCUGAUUUAGCCUUAAACUUGGUCAUGUGUACCAUACGACUAGGAUUGCCAGAGUCAGCCACCCUCCCAACAAAGGAUGCUCAGUUAAAUAUUGCACAGAACACACUUAUACUAAAAAUUGUUUGUUGUUUAUCUGAAAUUCAAAUUUAAUAGGGCAUAAUGUAUUUUACUUGGCAAUCCUACCUAUGAUGGACAUAUAUAUUUCCCCCCAGCUUUAUUAAGGUGUAAUUGACAAAUAAAAGUGUAAAUAUUUAUGAUAUAAAUGGAAAUAUAUACAGAUGCUCCUCGACUUUUGACGGGGUUACAUCCUGAUAAACCUGUCAUAAGUUAAAAAUAUUGUGAGUUGAAAAUUCAUGUAAUACACCUAACUUACUGAAUAUCCUAGCUUGGUCUAGCCAACCUUAAAUGUGCCCAGAACCCUUACAUCAGUAUAUUUGGGCUGAUGUAACACAAACCCUAUUUUAUCAUAAACUGUUUAAUAUCUCCUGUAAUUUAUUGAAUACUGUAUUGAAAAUGAAAGAUAAAAUGGUUGUAUGGGUCUCGAAGUAC
This 1649-nucleotide non-coding RNA is filed under the name Pongo abelii (Sumatran orangutan). The record is from RNAcentral. Lineage: Eukaryota; Metazoa; Chordata; Mammalia; Primates; Hominidae.